AUUGAACGCUGGCGGCAGGCCUAACACAUGCAAGUCGAGCGGAUGAAGGGAGCUUGCUCCUGGAUUCAGCGGCGGACGGGUGAGUAAUGCCUAGGAAUCUGCCUGGUAGUGGGGGAUAACGUCCGGAAACGGGCGCUAAUACCGCAUACGUCCUGAGGGAGAAAGUGGGGGAUCUUCGGACCUCACGCUAUCAGAUGAGCCUAGGUCGGCUUAGCUAGUUGGUGGGGUAAAGGCCUACCAAGGCGACGAUCCGUAACUGGUCUGAGAGGAUGAUCAGUCACACUGGAACUGAGACACGGUCCAGACUCCGACGGGAGGCAGCAGUGGGGAAUAUUGGACAAUGGGCGAAAGCCUGAUCCAGCCAUGCCGCGUGUGUGAAGAAGGUCUUCGGAUUGUAAAGCACUUUAAGUUGGGAGGAAGAGCAGUAAGUUAAUACCUUGCUGUUUUGACGUUACCAACAGAAUAAGCACCGGCUAACUUCGUG
Molecule: ribosomal RNA, 484 nt
Filed under: uncultured bacterium
Lineage: Bacteria
Description: partial 16S ribosomal RNA
Rfam family: Bacterial small subunit ribosomal RNA
Source: RNAcentral